Molecule: ribosomal RNA, 553 nt
Filed under: Scopulariopsis brumptii
Lineage: Eukaryota; Fungi; Ascomycota; Sordariomycetes; Microascales; Microascaceae
Description: eukaryotic LSU rRNA
Rfam family: Eukaryotic large subunit ribosomal RNA
Source: RNAcentral
GCGGAGGAAAAGAAACCAACAGGGAUUGCCCCAGUAACGGCGAGUGAAGCGGCAACAGCUCAAAUUUGAAAUCUGGUCCCCUUGCGGGGCCCGAGUUGUAAUUUGAAGAGGAUGCUUCUGGCAAGGUGCCUUCCGAGUUCCCUGGAACGGGACGCCGCAGAGGGUGAGAGCCCCGUACGGUAGGACGCCGAGCCUCUGUGAAGCUCCUUCGACGAGUCGAGUAGUUUGGGAAUGCUGCUCAAAAUGGGAGGUAAACCCCUUCUAAAGCUAAAUACCGGCCAGAGACCGAUAGCGCACAAGUAGAGUGAUCGAAAGAUGAAAAGCACUUUGAAAAGAGAGUUAAAAAGCACGUGAAAUUGUUGAAAGGGAAGCGCUUGCGACCAGACUCGCGCCCGUCGGAUCAGCCGUCGCUUGUCGGCGGCGCACUCCGGCGGGCUCGGGCCAGCAUCAGUUCGCCUCGGGGGGAGAAAGGCGGCAGGAAUGUGGCUCCUCGGAGUGUUAUAGCCUGCCGUGUAAUACCCCCGGGCGGACUGAGGACCGCGCGUAUGCAAGG